This is a non-coding RNA of Puma concolor (puma), 174 nucleotides long. The record is from RefSeq and is a predicted model, not a curated record. Lineage: Eukaryota; Metazoa; Chordata; Mammalia; Carnivora; Felidae.
UAAAAAAAAGAAAAAAAGAAAUGGAAUAAGAUGAAGAGUACCAAUUACCACAAACAGUAUUAGGUCAAACUUUUGGGUUAUUUGAGAGCAUGGUGAGCAGGAGAUAGACGUUCUAACUCCUGGGUACCAGGAAAACACUUCAUUUUGCCCCAGGAUGGGGGCUUUGGGGGAGAG